AAAUUGAAGAGUUUGAUCAUGGCUCAGAUUGAACGCUGGCGGCAGGCCUAACACAUGCAAGUCGAACGGUAACAGGAAACAGCUUGCUGUUUCGCUGACGAGUGGCGGACGGGUGAGUAAUGUCUGGGAAACUGCCUGAUGGAGGGGGAUAACUACUGGAAACGGUAGCUAAUACCGCAUAAUGUCGCAAGACUAAAGAGGGGGACCUUCGGGCCUCUUGCCAUCGGAUGUGCCCAGAUGGGAUUAGCUAGUAGGUGGGGUAACGGCUCACCUAGGCGACGAUCCCUAGCUGGUCUGAGAGGAUGACCAGCCACACUGGAACUGAGACACGGUCCAGACUCCUACGGGAGGCAGCAGUGGGGAAUAUUGCACAAUGGGCGCAAGCCUGAUGCAGCCAUGCCGCGUGUAUGAAGAAGGCCUUCGGGUUGUAAAGUACUUUCAGCGGGGAGGAAGGGAG
Molecule: ribosomal RNA, 457 nt
Filed under: Escherichia coli
Lineage: Bacteria; Pseudomonadati; Pseudomonadota; Gammaproteobacteria; Enterobacterales; Enterobacteriaceae
Also listed under: 1 other name
Description: bacterial SSU rRNA
Rfam family: Bacterial small subunit ribosomal RNA
Source: RNAcentral